RNAcentral lists this long non-coding RNA (212 nucleotides) under Capsicum annuum. RNAcentral describes it as "long non-coding RNA (CANN_LNC009125)". Lineage: Eukaryota; Viridiplantae; Streptophyta; Magnoliopsida; Solanales; Solanaceae. The record is from RNAcentral.
CGCUAUCUCCGCCCUUGCCUGAAAUUUUUCAUAUUAAGUGUACAUGUCAUAUAUAUAAUUUAAUUGUAAAAGAUGGUCUUGAGUUUUUUGAGCUUUAUAUUGAAAAAAAUCAUCUUGUCGUUGGUUUAUUCAAGAAAAUAAUCGUAGAUCGAGAAUUAGAGAAUUUAAAGUUAAAUGUCAAGAAAAUGGACUUACACCAAUUUUGAUGCCUG